AUGAACGCUGGCGGCGUGCCUAAUACAUGCAAGUCGAGCGAACAGACGAGGAGCUUGCUCCUCUGACGUUAGCGGCGGACGGGUGAGUAACACGUGGAUAACCUACCUAUAAGACUGGGAUAACUUCGGGAAACCGGAGCUAAUACCGGAUAAUAUAUUGAACCGCAUGGUUCAAUAGUGAAAGACGGUUUUGCUGUCACUUAUAGAUGGAUCCGCGCCGCAUUAGCUAGUUGGUAAGGUAACGGCUUACCAAGGCAACGAUGCGUAGCCGACCUGAGAGGGUGAUCGGCCACACUGGAACUGAGACACGGUCCAGACUCCACGGGAGGCAGCAGUAGGGAAUCUUCCGCAAUGGGCGAAAGCUUGACGGAGCAACGCCGCGUGAGUGAUGAAGGUCUUCGGAUCGUAAAACUCUGUUAUUAGGGAAGAACAAAUGUGUAAGUAACUAUGCACGUCUUGACGGUACCUAAUCAGAAAGCCACGGCUAACUACGUG
RNAcentral lists this ribosomal RNA (495 nucleotides) under uncultured bacterium. RNAcentral describes it as "partial 16S ribosomal RNA". It matches the Rfam family "Bacterial small subunit ribosomal RNA", at positions 29 to 507 of the family's 1533-position model. The record is from RNAcentral.